AUUCCAGCUCCAAUAGCGUAUAUUAAAGUUGUUGCGGUUAAAAAGCUCGUAGUUGGAUUUCUGUUGAGGACUGCCGGUCCAUGUUUUGCAUGAGAAUCGGUCUGGCCUCGGCAUCCUCUUGGGAAACGUGCUGCGCUUCACUGCGUGGCACGGUUUUCAAGACUUUUACUUUGAGGAAAUUAGAGUGUUCACGGCAGGCUGUCGCCCUGAAUACAUUAGCAUGGAAUAAUACUAUAGGACCUCGGUUCUAUUUUGUUGGUUUCUAGGACUGAGGUAAUGAUUAAUAGGAACGGUUGGGGGCAUUCGUAUUAACACGUCAGAGGUGGAAUUCUUGGAUUGUGUUACGACGAACUACUGCGAAAGCAUUUGCCAAGGAUGUUUUCAUUA
Molecule: ribosomal RNA, 387 nt
Filed under: Syndiniales sp.
Lineage: Eukaryota; Dinophyceae; Syndiniales
Description: partial small subunit ribosomal RNA
Rfam family: Eukaryotic small subunit ribosomal RNA
Source: RNAcentral